Molecule: ribosomal RNA, 447 nt
Filed under: uncultured bacterium
Lineage: Bacteria
Description: bacterial SSU rRNA
Rfam family: Bacterial small subunit ribosomal RNA
Source: RNAcentral
UCCAGACUCCUACGGGAGGCAGCAGUGGGGAAUAUUGCACAAUGGGGGGAACCCUGAUGCAGCGACGCCGCGUGAAGGAAGAAGUAUUUCGGUAUGUAAACUUCUAUCAGCAGGGAAGAAAAUGACGGUACCUGACUAAGAAGCCCCGGCUAACUACGUGCCAGCAGCCGCGGUAAUACGUAGGGGGCAAGCGUUAUCCGGAUUUACUGGGCGUAAAGGGAGCGUAGGCGGCAGUGCAAGUCAGAAGUGAAAGCCCAAGGCUCAACCAUGGGACUGCUUUUGAAACUGUACAGCUAGAGUGCAGGAGAGGUAAGUGGAAUUCCUAGUGUAGCGGUGAAAUGCGUAGAUAUUAGGAGGAACACCAGUGGCGAAGGCGGCUUACUGGACUGUAAAUGACGCUGAGGCUCGAAAGCGUGGCGAGCAAACAGGAUUAGAUACCCCUGUAAG